RNAcentral lists this non-coding RNA (26 nucleotides) under Mus musculus (house mouse). The record is from RNAcentral. Lineage: Eukaryota; Metazoa; Chordata; Mammalia; Rodentia; Muridae.
UGGUAACUCACAGUAAUUCUGCCUGU